This 432-nucleotide ribosomal RNA is filed under the name Triticum aestivum (bread wheat). RNAcentral's name for it is "partial small subunit ribosomal RNA". Lineage: Eukaryota; Viridiplantae; Streptophyta; Magnoliopsida; Poales; Poaceae. The record is from RNAcentral.
AUGACCUCCAGCUUGGACAUGUUGAUGUUGCGGGAGGAGAAGGCGGAGAGCACCUUGAGCACCACCGCCAUGGACCCGCCCCGGUGCGCGACCACCAUGCUGGUCUUGGCGUCCGCGUCCACGGGGACCGCCACCGGCGACGGCGGCUUGGAGAGCAGCAGGAAGCGGGUGACGUUCCAGGACUCGUCCUGCAGGCCGUGCGCGAGGACGUCGAGGCCGUAGAGGUCGGCGGCGCGCGGGCUGGCGAUGGCGGCCGUGUCGAGCAUCAUGUUGGAGCGCAGCAUCUCGACGGCGCCGGCAGUGUCCUCGACCGGCUCUCGGUCGACGCCGAGGCGCGCGAGGGCGCGGCCGCAGUGCGCGAGCGCCAUGGGGUGGCUGAUGACCCGGCGCACCUCGGUGGCGCGCACCCCGGGCAUGGCCAGGAGGCAGUAG